UGGAUGUAUGCAAGUUGUCGAUGACAAAGG
Molecule: non-coding RNA, 30 nt
Filed under: Rattus norvegicus (Norway rat)
Lineage: Eukaryota; Metazoa; Chordata; Mammalia; Rodentia; Muridae
Source: RNAcentral